UACGUAGGGUGCGAGCGUUGUCCGGAAUUAUUGGGCGUAAAGAGCUCGUAGGCGGUUUGUCGCGUCGUCCGUGAAAACUCACAGCUUAACUGUGAGCUUGCGGUCGAUACGGGCAGGCUAGAGUUCGGCAGGGGAGACUGGAAUUCCUGGUGUAGCGGUGAAAUGCGCAGAUAUCAGGAGGAACACCGGUGGCGAAGGCGGGUCUCUGGGCCGAUACUGACACUGAGGAGCGAAAGCGUGGGGAGCGAACAGG
This 253-nucleotide ribosomal RNA is filed under the name uncultured bacterium. Its description in RNAcentral is "partial 16S ribosomal RNA". It matches the Rfam family "Bacterial small subunit ribosomal RNA", at positions 524 to 776 of the family's 1533-position model. The record is from RNAcentral.